This is a long non-coding RNA of Cygnus atratus (black swan), 982 nucleotides long. RefSeq lists it as uncharacterized. The record is from RefSeq and is a predicted model, not a curated record. NCBI's taxonomy places the organism in Eukaryota, Metazoa, Chordata, Aves, Anseriformes, Anatidae. The transcript is spliced from 3 exons.
AAUGAUAAUACAGGCAAGGUUUGUUCCUGCUGUUGCAACAGAGCCUUAACGAGUCAUUUUGUCAGCCCUAAGAGGAAGAAGAGUCCUGCCUUUGUUAAUGAGAGAAAGACCGAGCUCCUCCCUGUUGCACUGAAUCAUCCCCAGCUCUUCUCUCCAAAGGAGUUUAUAGAAAGGAGAUGCAGAUUUUCUGCCUACAGCUAUAUGAGUCUGAAUUCUUCUUCACAUGGGCAACCAGAUGAAGAGGCACCAUUUCAGUUUGUGACCCCAGAACUUCCUCCUCUUCUGCCACCUCCAGCUGGUGAGAUCACGAGUUCAGUCCUUGACAUGGAAUUUGCAGUCUGCCUGAUGUCAUUCCACUUGUGUCUUAGCCUCUUCCCAUUCUUGUAUGACUUUAUCCUCCUUUAUUGAUGUUGCUUCAUAACCCCGUGAAAUGCACAGGGUGUAUUUCAUUAGUGCUGGACUACUUGCGUAGGAGUGCUAAUGAAAACAUUAAAUGAAAUCAAGCACAAGGCUUUGAAAAACUCCAUCGGAAGUAUGAUUCUUCCUCGGCCUUGAAGGGGGUCCAAUUCCGAGUUGAAGCCAUGCAAGGUUCCCAGCAUGACAGAGCCCCCCUGAUGCAAAUAGCUGCUCUUUUGACAUGAAGAGAAACGAAUCUCAUCCCAACAAACCUGCACGGAUGCUAUUGGUCUCCUGAGCCCUGUCUUGACGCUGCUCAGAUGUGACACCAGCAUCUGAAAGCUUCUCCCAGGAGGGUUCAUUUGCUGAAGAGAUGAUGAUUAUGGGCUCCUUAGGAGGUGGAAUAAAGGAGAUGCCCUUUAGUUGCAGCAGUGUUUUUUUCUGAAGUAUCUCAGUGCCAGCACAUACUUGUCCACGAUGUAGUUUUUUCCCAUUAAUAAAUCCACAGACCCUGCUGGAUACCACUGCUGUUACGUUUGCAAAAUGUUACAGUGUUAAUGGGGUUCUGCUCCUUUCACGUAUCUUG